RNAcentral lists this ribosomal RNA (460 nucleotides) under uncultured bacterium. Its description in RNAcentral is "partial 16S ribosomal RNA". It matches the Rfam family "Bacterial small subunit ribosomal RNA", at positions 338 to 795 of the family's 1533-position model. The record is from RNAcentral.
CCUACGGGCGGCAGCAGUGAGGAAUAUUGGUCAAUGGCCGCAAGCCUGAACCAGCCAAGCAGCGUGAAGGACGAAGGUCCCACGCAUUGUAAACUUCUUUUGUCAAGGAACAAAAUCAGGCUCGCGCGCCUUACCGAAUGUACUUUAAGAAAAAGCAUCGGCUAACUCCGUGCCAGCAGCCGCGGUAAUACGGAGGAUCCGAGCGUUAUCCGGAUUUAUUGGGUUUAAAGGGUGCGUAGGCGGGCUGUUAAGUCAGGGGUCAAAGCCCGGGGCUCAACCCCAGGAGAGCGGUUGAAACUGGCAGUCUUGAGAGGUGGAGAGGUAGGCGGAAUGCGUAGUGUAGCGGUGAAAUGCUUAGAUAUCGCGCAGAACUCCGAUUGCGAAGGCAGCCUACUGGAGGGGAUCUGACGCUGAGGCACGAAAGCGUGGGUAUCGAACAGGAUUAGAUACCCGAGUAGUC